RNAcentral lists this ribosomal RNA (801 nucleotides) under Triticum aestivum (bread wheat). RNAcentral's name for it is "partial small subunit ribosomal RNA". Lineage: Eukaryota; Viridiplantae; Streptophyta; Magnoliopsida; Poales; Poaceae. The record is from RNAcentral.
AUGCCCACAUGGUCAACACAGCUAUGGGGCCCAGUUGCCAGUGUCGCGCCUGCCUGGCUAGGCAAUUCCGCGAGCAUCUCCAGGCCACUCCCAGGCAGACCGGCGAGGUCACGAUCCAACCAGCCGCAAAUCUCCCCAGACACUCGACCACCGCGCCCCGCCCGCCGGCCGCCGCCGCCGCCGCCUCGAUCCCACGCCCCACCGGCUCGGGACGCCCCCGCCACUCACGCGUCGCCGCAAUCGCCGUCCCCGCUCUUCCUCGUCGGGACACCGCGUUCCCCGUCCGCAGUCUCUGACCGCCUCUGCCGCGCGGAUCGCUGGUCCACGGGCGGGAUGGACAAGCUGGUGCAGUUCGGGAAGAAGGCAUGGUUCGUGGUGCGGGUCAUGUCCGGCUACGAGGAGAGGAGGAUCCGGUCCUACAGGCUGCAGCUGCAGCAGCGCCUCCAGCAGGCUCAGGCUAAGAAGAAGGAGAUUGAGAAACAACCAGAGCAAGUUAUUCUGUCAGAGGUUCGUCAAGUGGUUCAGCAGAUGCAAGCUCUCAAUCAGCACCUCGAAGAAGCUGAAACUGCCAUAGAUGAGUAUUUCAAACCGAUCGACAAGAAUGCUCAGAUCUUAAUAGACAUGCAAAUGGAGAAAGAAGAGAAGCAAAUGAAGGAGAUGCUCCAAGUAAUGCGAGGCCAAAUACAAAUGCAAAGAGAAAUCGAGACGAUGAAAGCCGAGGCCAGUGCCGUGGAGCCUGUCGACACCCAAGCGAGUGCAACAACGGCUGAGAUUCCUCCGAAACAAGAAAACACUAAAUAG